Molecule: ribosomal RNA, 661 nt
Filed under: Bacillus pumilus
Lineage: Bacteria; Bacillati; Bacillota; Bacilli; Caryophanales; Bacillaceae
Description: bacterial SSU rRNA
Rfam family: Bacterial small subunit ribosomal RNA
Source: RNAcentral
UGGGUAACCUGCCUGUAAGACUGGGAUAACUCCGGGAAACCGGAGCUAAUACCGGAUAGUUCCUUGAACCGCAUGGUUCAAGGAUGAAAGACGGUUUCGGCUGUCACUUACAGAUGGACCCGCGGCGCAUUAGCUAGUUGGUGAGGUAACGGCUCACCAAGGCGACGAUGCGUAGCCGACCUGAGAGGGUGAUCGGCCACACUGGGACUGAGACACGGCCCAGACUCCUACGGGAGGCAGCAGUAGGGAAUCUUCCGCAAUGGACGAAAGUCUGACGGAGCAACGCCGCGUGAGUGAUGAAGGUUUUCGGAUCGUAAAGCUCUGUUGUUAGGGAAGAACAAGUGCAAGAGUAACUGCUUGCACCUUGACGGUACCUAACCAGAAAGCCACGGCUAACUACGUGCCAGCAGCCGCGGUAAUACGUAGGUGGCAAGCGUUGUCCGGAAAUAUUGGGCGUAAAGGGCUCGCAGGCGGUUUCUUAAGUCUGAUGUGAAAGCCCCCGGCUCAACCGGGGAGGGUCAUUGGAAACUGGGAAACUUGAGUGCAGAAGAGGAGAGUGGAAUUCCACGUGUAGCGGUGAAAUGCGUAGAGAUGUGGAGGAACACCAGUGGCGAAGGCGACUCUCUGGUCUGUAACUGACGCUGAGGAGCGAAAGCGUGGG